UGAGACCUCUUGAUGGCCGCGGCCGUGAUCUUCAUUGGGAUCGGCUGAGGAACUUCCGGGCUCCAUAGAGCACGAUGGCGGAUAACGUCCGCCCAGGGUGACCUGAGAGAUAGCGCAACAGAGAACAGACCGCCCGUCCACGACGGGUAAGGGUGAAACGGCGGUGUAAGCGACCACCGGGCCUCUGGUAACAGUAGGUCGCAUGGCAAGCCUCAUCGGGAGCAAGGCCAAGCAGAUGGCGGUAAGGGCUGCUCGCCCGUGUCAUCGGGUAGGCUGCUAGAGCCUGGCGGUAACGUCAGGUCGAGAUGGAUGGCCAUCCGUGCCGUGCGUUCGCGCACGGCACGACAGAACCCGGGGUAUAAGAGGUCUCAUUUU
Molecule: RNase P RNA, 375 nt
Filed under: Bifidobacterium sp.
Lineage: Bacteria; Bacillati; Actinomycetota; Actinomycetes; Bifidobacteriales; Bifidobacteriaceae
Description: RNase P RNA component class A
Rfam family: Bacterial RNase P class A
About the family: Ribonuclease P (RNase P) is a ubiquitous endoribonuclease, found in archaea, bacteria and eukarya as well as chloroplasts and mitochondria. Its best characterised activity is the generation of mature 5'-ends of tRNAs by cleaving the 5'-leader elements of precursor-tRNAs.
Source: RNAcentral